CACCCGAGAGUGUUUACAAGUAUAGGCAUGUGAGCUGUCCAAGGAAGAAGAUAUUAUCUGAUGGAAUCAUCUAGCAGUUCCUGAUGGUUGUGCUCUCAAGUGCUAUUUUCCUAAUAUAUAGACGUAAGAACAUCUUCUGCUUUAAUUGUUAUAGCAUAUUGUCAUUCUUUUAUUGCUUCAGUGUUACGCCCAUAGUCUAAUUAUGUCCAGCUUUUGUGGAAUUAGAAACAGUAACUUUACUAAUCUCUCUUCACUGUCAUAGUUGACAUAUCGUACAUGCCAUUGUUUUUGGAACAAGUUAUCCUGACUUCCCAAGCCAUAAUUUUUACAAUAUUAAUUACAAUAUAAUAGACGGAAUGCUUAAUAUGCUUAUGGAAAGCUAUAUUCAGCUAUUGAACCAAAGUUCUUCACUAUGCUAAGUUUAAGAACUUACUCACUUACCUGGCAUUGUCUUAUGAAGUCAAAUGUGCUUACUACUUUAUGUCAUUUGAAACUUACUUUUCUCGCUAAUUGUUGUAUAAUAAUUUACUUCACUGAAUGUAGUAGAGGGUCAAUAAAAUUGCAGAAUUAUGAUAUAGCCUGAACUGGUAUGUUUCUGUUCUCGCCAUCAUGCACAUCUUCUUGCACACUAUUCUGUUUCUACUCUUCAAGUGCCAGCAUUGUCCUUCCUGUUAAUGUAGAUGACUGCUCGUUGUUGUCGCAAGAUGAAGAUAAGAAGUGAGAUAUGAUGCAAGUGACUAAGAAGAAGCAUUACCACCUCCAAAGGAAAUCUCCAAUGCCUAUUUGAAUUCAGGGUUUUUUAUUUGCACUUUGUUUGUCAGAUGUUUUGGUUGAGCGAAUGAUUGAGUAGUCACCGGAAGCAAGAACGCCACCAAAUAUUGAUAUAAACACAUGGUUUUGUAUUUUCCUAUAGCCAGUUGUGCAUUGUUCAGUUUUAUGAAAUGGUUUUAUUUUACCUGAGAGAUGACUGGUUAACAGUAUACCUAAAUUAUCUAUAUGUAUUUCAUUUGUCUAAUAUAUCCAGUUUGUUCUUGCUACAAUCCCCGCAGCAAUGCGCGGAGUGUCAUCUAGUUUCAUUAUAUUUACAUCAAUUAAGUAGUGCUUUUCCAACUCUGGAGGUAUAAUUAAUACACCUAAUCUAUGAUCGCCGACGCCCGUUCCCCGUGUCUGGCCAUGAGCCCUGAGAACUAAAGCUUCCUCUUCUCCAG
RNAcentral lists this long non-coding RNA (1208 nucleotides) under Triticum aestivum (bread wheat). Its description in RNAcentral is "long non-coding RNA (TAES_LNC020863)". Lineage: Eukaryota; Viridiplantae; Streptophyta; Magnoliopsida; Poales; Poaceae. The record is from RNAcentral.